UACAGAGGCCUCAAGCGUUGUUCGGAAUUACUGGGCGUAAAGCGAAUGUAGGUGGUGAUGCAAGUCAGAUGUGAAAGCCCUGGGCUUAACCCGGGAACUGCAUUUGAUACUGCGUCGCUAGAGUGCGAGAGAGGUUAGAGGAAUUCCUGGUGUAGGGGUGAAAUCCGUAGAUAUCAGGAGGAAUACCGAUGGCGUAGGCAUCUAACUGGCUCGUAACUGACACUGAGAUUCGAAAGCAUGGGUAGCAAACAGC
This 253-nucleotide ribosomal RNA is filed under the name uncultured prokaryote. RNAcentral describes it as "partial 16S ribosomal RNA". It matches the Rfam family "Bacterial small subunit ribosomal RNA", at positions 524 to 776 of the family's 1533-position model. The record is from RNAcentral.